Dendroctonus ponderosae (mountain pine beetle) is the source of this 504-nucleotide long non-coding RNA. RefSeq lists it as uncharacterized. The transcript is spliced from 3 exons. NCBI's taxonomy places the organism in Eukaryota, Metazoa, Arthropoda, Insecta, Coleoptera, Curculionidae. The record is from RefSeq and is a predicted model, not a curated record.
AGUGAAACAAUGAGCGUUGAAAAUUCAAGUGCUGCUUCAACAAUUCAGCACUUUUCCAUGAUUGAUAUUGGAGACAGAAGACAACUGCUGCUUGUCUUUAUCUAUGUUUAUCUCUGGUUACGUGCAUCACGUGUUUUUCGAAAACUUGAGAAUAUUAAAAAUCCAUAUUAAUCGAUGCGAUAAAAUAAAUAUGAGUCAAAAUAUGAAAACCGUGCUUGUGCCUCAGUGUUAUGAUGUGCCUUCAAGACGGUAAUUACGGUAUAAUUAUGGCUUAAAACCCCGCAAACAUGUAAAGGUGAUAUCGCUGUUCUGGACUUGAAGCAUUGGGGAUCACGUGAGAAAACCACACACGAAAAAUGUUCGCAUAAGAUACGACAAAAAUGUAAAGGUAAUGUCGCUGUUCUGGACUUGAAGCAUUGAAGAUGCUAGGGAUCACGUGAGAAAACCACACACGAAAAAUGUUCGCAUAAGAGACAAGUAAGGUUGUCUGAACCUAAUUAUUCU